GAUGUCACAGGAGGGUUCCAUGAGCAAUAACUUAUAAGCUGAGACCUGCAGGAUGAACAGGAGUUAGGUGAAGAGGAGAACGAUGUCCAGGCAGGGGCCGGGGAAGCUCGUGCCAAGGCACUGAGGGGAAGUGCUGCAAUGAACCUCAGAGGCUGGAUCUUGCUGACUCAUCUGGGGUACCAAGGACAGACAAAGGACAUGGAGUCCAGGCCCAGGAGGCGAUACCAGGCCAGCAGUUUCACUGAUGCUCCUGUCAUGACGAUGACUGCCUCCCUCCUCCCCUUGGUCCCUGACUCAGUGUCUGCAGUGACCAGGCACCAGGCAGGGAGCAAGGAACCAAGCCUUUCACCUGCUCCCACCAACUCCUAUGGUGCUCCCUUUCCAAGGCUAGGUCUCCUCUCCACCCAGUUCCUUAUCACGUACCAUGAGAAGCUGUCACCUUGGCAACUGUCACCUUCUGGUGAGAUUUACAAUUGCACUGCUACAACUGCUUGUGGCAUGGUAAAGUUGCACCAGGACCUCUGCUGUCCAUGAGAUCAAAGUUCCAGGCCAAGGCACCAGGGGCACGAACAGUGUUGCCCGCAUGGAACUCACACUUAAUGGGAGCGGCAGCCAACAGAGACGGGUCUCACUAUGUUGCCCAGGCUGGUCUCAAGUUCCUGGAUUCAAUGUUCUUGCCUUGGCUUCUCAAAGUACCAGGAUUAUAGGCAUGAGCCACUGUGCCAGGCCCAAACCUAGCUUCUGAGUGGAAAAAUUUCUGCUGCCCCACCAGCUUCAGGAAGUGGGAGUCAACUCUAGUCACUGUGGUGAUGCAGAGAUAAUACGGCUGAUAAACCCCUUAUUUUUCUCUC
Molecule: long non-coding RNA, 851 nt
Organism: Homo sapiens (human)
Lineage: Eukaryota; Metazoa; Chordata; Mammalia; Primates; Hominidae
Source: Ensembl